Molecule: ribosomal RNA, 211 nt
Filed under: uncultured bacterium
Lineage: Bacteria
Description: partial 16S ribosomal RNA
Rfam family: Bacterial small subunit ribosomal RNA
Source: RNAcentral
GUUAAGUCAGAUGUGAAAGCCCGGGGCUUAACCUCGGAAUUGCAUUUGAAACUGGCAGACUAGAGUACUGUAGAGGGGGUAGAAUUUCAGGUGUAGCGGUGAAAUGCGUAGAGAUCUGAAGGAAUACCGGUGGCGAAGGCGGCCCCCUGGACAGAUACUGACACUCAGAUGCGAAAGCGUGGGGAGCAAACAGGAUUAGAUACCCUGGUAG